Molecule: ribosomal RNA, 490 nt
Filed under: uncultured bacterium
Lineage: Bacteria
Description: bacterial SSU rRNA
Rfam family: Bacterial small subunit ribosomal RNA
Source: RNAcentral
CUACGUGCCAGCAGCCGCGGUAAUACGUAGGGCGCGAGCGUUGUCCGGAAUUAUUGGGCGUAAAGAGCUUGUAGGCGGUUUGCCGCGUCUGCUGUGAAAGGCCGGAGCUUAACUCCGUGUAUUGCAGUGGGUACGGGCAGACUAGAGUGCAGUAGGGGAGACUGGAAUUCCUGGUGUAGCGGUGGAAUGCGCAGAUAUCAGGAGGAACACCGAUGGCGAAGGCAGGUCUCUGGGCUGUAACUGACGCUGAGAAGCGAAAGCAUGGGGAGCGAACAGGAUUAGAUACCCUGGUAGUCCAUGCCGUAAACGUUGGGCACUAGGUGUGGGGGACAUUCCACGUUUUCCGCGCCGUAGCUAACGCAUUAAGUGCCCCGCCUGGGGAGUACGGCCGCAAGGCUAAAACUCAAAGAAAUUGACGGGGGCCCGCACAAGCGGCGGAGCAUGCGGAUUAAUUCGAUGCAACGCGAAGAACCUUACCAAGGCUUGACAU